Non-coding RNA from Citrus sinensis (sweet orange), 107 nucleotides. NCBI's taxonomy places the organism in Eukaryota, Viridiplantae, Streptophyta, Magnoliopsida, Sapindales, Rutaceae. The record is from Rfam.
AUGCCAUGAUGAUGACACAUUCUGAGCAGUUCUUUAAAUCUUUCCCAAGCCUCGUACAAACUCUCAUCUUCAAGUUGAUGGAAGAAAGUAAUCUUAUUCCGCAACUU